AUGAAGAAAAACAUGGAUUUGAAAACGUUGUGGGAUAGAGCUUCCAAGAAAAGCAAGAUUGCCUCCACCUCGACGCCGAAACCCGCACCGAUUGGAGUUGAAAGCCGGUCUCGGAACCAAGGCAACCCUUCCCCAUCAGAUGGGCUGCAGGUGGUACCGAAGGAUGAUGAAUCUGGUGACGACGAGUCCAUUGCUUCAAACGCUAAACAGUUGCAGGCCGAGGCCGAGGCUCUAUAUCUGUCCCGUUUGAAAACUUCAGUCCAGUGCCUGAGGUUCAUCUUGCAGCAAGGCUUGCCAGUCCAUGGACAUCUUGAAAAUGAAGGUAAUGCAGGGAAUUUUCUUGAGCUUGUGGAUUGGCUGGCAGAGAGUGUUGAAGGAGUUAAAAGGGUGGGUCUGAAGGAUGCUCCGAGAAGCAGCGAGCUGUUGGACCAAAAGGCACAGGAGCAACUCAUCAACGCUUGUGCCCAAGAAACUACUAGGCUCAUCAUUGAAGACCUUGGUGAUGGUUAUUUCGCGGUGCUUGUUUAUGAAUCUCGCGAUAUGGAACAACAGGAACAAUUGGCCCUUUGCCUGCGUUAUGUUGGUACAAAAGGAAUGGCCGUGGAAAGGUUCCUCGGCAUCGUCGGAGUUGAAGACACUACCCCUUUGACAAUUAAAACAGCAAUUCAGAAUCUGCUUACGGCAUACCCCUUUGACAAUUAA
RNAcentral lists this ribosomal RNA (702 nucleotides) under Triticum aestivum (bread wheat). RNAcentral's name for it is "partial small subunit ribosomal RNA". Lineage: Eukaryota; Viridiplantae; Streptophyta; Magnoliopsida; Poales; Poaceae. The record is from RNAcentral.